UGGGGAAUAUUGGACAAUGGGCGAAAGCCUGAUCCAGCCAUGCCGCGUGUGUGAAGAAGGUCUUCGGAUUGUAAAGCACUUUAAGUUGGGAGGAAGGGCAUUAACCUAAUACGUUAGUGUUUUGACGUUACCGACAGAAUAAGCACCGGCUAACUCUGUGCCAGCAGCCGCGGUAAUACAGAGGGUGCAAGCGUUAAUCGGAAUUACUGGGCGUAAAGCGCGCGUAGGUGGUUUGUUAAGUUGGAUGUGAAAUCCCCGGGCUCAACCUGGGAACUGCAUUCAAAACUGACUGACUAGAGUAUGGUAGAGGGUGGUGGAAUUUCCUGUGUAGCGGUGAAAUGCGUAGAUAUAGGAAGGAACACCAGUGGCGAUGGCGACCACCUGGACUAAUACUGACACUGAGGUGCGAAAGCGUGGGGAGCAAACA
Molecule: ribosomal RNA, 427 nt
Filed under: uncultured bacterium
Lineage: Bacteria
Description: partial 16S ribosomal RNA
Rfam family: Bacterial small subunit ribosomal RNA
Source: RNAcentral